UACGAAGGGGGCUAGCGUUGCUCGGAAUCACUGGGCGUAAAGGGCGCGUAGGCGGUGCGGUAAGUCCGCAGUGAAAUCUCUGGGCUCAACUCAGAGUCUGCUGUGGAAACUGCCGUGCUUGAGUGUGGGAGAGGUGAGUGGAAUUCCCGGUGUAGCGGUGAAAUGCGUAGAGAUCGGAAAGAACACCAACGGCGAAAGCACUCUGCUGGGCCGACACUGACACUGAGAGACGAAAGCUAGGGGAGCGAAUGGG
RNAcentral lists this ribosomal RNA (253 nucleotides) under uncultured bacterium. RNAcentral's name for it is "partial 16S ribosomal RNA". It matches the Rfam family "Bacterial small subunit ribosomal RNA", at positions 524 to 776 of the family's 1533-position model. The record is from RNAcentral.